CUACGGGCGGCUGCAGUUAAGAAUAAUCUACAAUGCACGCAAGUGUGAUAGUUUGAGCCAGAGUGAUUCUCCAUACGGAGCGUCUUUUAUGGAGUGCAAAAAGCUCCAAGAAUAGGGACUGGGUAAGACUAGUGCCAGCCGCCGCGGUAAUACUAGCGGUCCAAGUCGCAGCCAUUUUUAUUGGGUCUAAAACAUCCGUAGCUUGCUUGAUCAGUUCCUCGUGAAAUCCUGCGUCCUAAGCGUGGGGCGAGCGGGGAAUACUGUCAAGCUAGAGAUCGGGAGACGUAACGAGUACGUUCAAAGUAGCGGUAAAAUGUUUUAAUCUUGAACGGACUAACAAUAGCGAAGGCACGUUACGAGAACGGUUCUGACAGUCAGGGAUGAAGGCUAGGGGCGCAAAACGGAUUAGAUACCCGCGUAGUC
Molecule: ribosomal RNA, 423 nt
Filed under: uncultured archaeon
Lineage: Archaea
Description: partial 16S ribosomal RNA
Rfam family: Archaeal small subunit ribosomal RNA
Source: RNAcentral